UACAGAGGGUGCAAGCGUUGUUCGGAAUUAUUGGGCGUAAAGGGCUCGUAGGCGGUUUGUCGCGUCGGGAGUGAAAACUCAGGGCUUAACCCUGAGCCUGCUUCCGAUACGGGCAGACUAGAGGUAUGCAGGGGAGAACGGAAUUCCUGGUGUAGCGGUGAAAUGCGCAGAUAUCAGGAGGAACACCGGUGGCGAAGGCGGUUCUCUGGGCAUUACCUGACGCUGAGGAGCGAAAGUGUGGGGAGCGAACAGG
This 253-nucleotide ribosomal RNA is filed under the name uncultured bacterium. RNAcentral's name for it is "partial 16S ribosomal RNA". It matches the Rfam family "Bacterial small subunit ribosomal RNA", at positions 524 to 776 of the family's 1533-position model. The record is from RNAcentral.